GUCUCCUGUUAUUAUCUGCUUGAGUGUUUUUUUUUUUUCAUUUUUUGCAAAUGCAAUAUUUGGUUUUGGCUUGUGGUUGCCCUGUUUUUUAAGUAUGCUAACCCCUUCCCAUAAUUGUGUGUUUUAGCCUGAUGGUCCUGUAAGUUCAAACACUUCAUUACUAUAUUAAAAUUAAGAAGAGAAACAUACAAACAAACAAAAAGGGUUAUUUACUUCCUAACAUCCCUUGCCCACAUUUUAUGGUUUUGAUGACUCUUUUUUAUUUUUUUCUUUUUAAUUUUAUUUUGUUUGAAGCAUGUUCAUGAUUAAAUCUGUAUGCUGGCUUAUUUGAGUGACUGCUCUCUGAUUGCGGUUUCCUCAGUCCUAGUUCUUCCUCUUCUUCUUCUUCUUUUUUUUUUUUUUUUUCUUUUCUUUUUUCUUCCCUUUCCUUCCUUUCUUUUUGGUUUAGAGAAGCCCUUUCAAUAUUUCCUUUAACCUGGGUUUUGUGUUGCUGUAUUCUUUAAGUUUUUGUUUGUUGGGAAAAAUUUUUAUUUCCCCUUCUAUUUUAAAUGAUAUUCUUGCUGGAUAGAGUAUUCUAGGUUGCAUAUUUUUUCCUUUGAGCACUUUAAAUAUCUCUUGCCAUUCCCUCCUGGCCUGUAGUGUUUCUGUAGAGAAAUCAGCUGAUAUUCUUAUGGGGGUUCCCUUGUAGGUAACAUUCUGUUUUUCUCUUGCUGCCUUUAGGAUCCUCUCUUUAUCACUAACUUUUGCCAUUUUUAUUAUGAUGUGUCUUGGUGUGGGUCUGUUUGGGUUCAGUUUGUUUGGGGCCCUCUGUGCUUCUUGUAUCUUGAAUCCAGUAUCCUUUAGAUUUGGGAAGUUUCCAGCGAUAAUUUCUUCAAAUAUAUUUUCCAUUCCCUUAUCUUUUUCUACUCCUUCUGGAAUUCCUAUUAUGCGUAGAUUGGCCCGCUUUAUAUUAUCCCAUAGGUCUCUUAUAUUGCUUUCCAGUUUUUUGAUUCGGUUUUCUGUCUGUUGACCAGAUUGAGUGAUUUCCAUUAUUCUAUCUUCCAUAUCACUGAUUCGUUCUUCUGCAUUAUUCAUUCUGGUUUUUACUGCCCCUAGUUCAGUUUGCAUCUCUGCAAAUGAAUGUUCUAGUUUUUCUUGGCUCCUCCUUAUAUUUUCUAGUUCCUUUCUGAGGGUAUCUGCAUUACUGUUCAUAUCUUCUCUUAAUUCCUUCAGUAUUUUCACUAUUUCUCUUUUGAACUCCAGGUCUGUCUGACUGCAGAGAUCUGUUUCAUUGUUGACUGUUUUAGGUGAGUUCUCCUGUUGGUUUGACUGGGGGUGGUUUCUCAGCUUCUUCAUCUUGCUUGUUGUUUUCUUUCUCCUGAGGGAGUUGUACUCUCCGUUAUCGGGCAGUGUUUGCCUUGUCACUGCCGUGGAAUAUUUCCUGAGGGCUGGCGUUGUUGGUCAAUCUUUUUUGAGGCAGUGUGGCUUUUCUGGAGUGUUGAUGGGGCUAACAGUGUUUCUUUGAAGCAAAGGAGGACUUCCUGAGGGCAGACAGGACUGGGAGGUCCACACCACGAUGGUAGCAGAUUUCACUUGGUCAUGCAGAGCUUGCUCUGGUGUUUUUAGGCUGUGGGGUUCUUGCAGGGGGUUGGCGGUGUUGGGCAGCUGUUCCUCAGGAGUGCAGCACCCCCUGGGGGCUGGAGCAGCUAUCUGGGUCACUGAGAACCUAAGAGGCUCUUCCCUAGGGCAGCCCAACUCAGAAGGACAGCCUGAGAAUGUAGGCGGAUCUUUUCACAGUCUGGCCGAGCUUGUUCUAGCUUUUCUGGGCUGCAGGCCUUUUCUCGGGGGCUGGUGGUGUUUGGUGCUGCUCUGCGGAAGUGUAGCCCCUCCAAAGGGCAAGCAGGCCUGUGCAGGGACAGCCCCUGCGGUGGUAGGCUUCAGGCAAUUGUUGAGGCCAGCCCUCCUGGAUGGCAGGCAGCCCCAGGUUCGGCGAGAGCGUAGGGGGUGGCGGGGGUGGGGGGAGGGAAUGCACUGGGAAGCACAGCUUUCUGCUAGCUAGCGGGCCUGUAAGCUUGCUGUGGCGUGGGGGGUAUUCUAUGGGGACCCACCCCUUCUUCUCUCCCCUCCCCAGCACGGGCGCAGACCAGGCUCUUCUCCCAGGUUCCCUCUGAGGCGGCUUUCCACUUCCCCGCCCCUAGAGUAUUGCUCCCUUCCUCUGCGACAGCUUUGUUUUCUAGUCUCCCAGGCAGUCUCUGCCCCGUCAAAUGGUUUCUAGACCUCCCAAGCAGUUUCCGCUCUGCCCCGCCCCCCUAGCCCGGGGACUAAUCUCUGGAGCCGAGGUCUCGGUGCCCAGCCCCCACCCAGGCGUCUCAAUUUUUGGUGACUGUGCCCGUAGUUCAGAUGGUCCGUUGGGUUCUUGAUCGGCUUUUCCGUACUCCAACUUACUGCUACACUCUUCUCUGCAUCUGGAGAUUCCUCCGGUUCGUUUGAUCUUUCCCCCGGUAGGUGACUUUCCAGGGUGCGGGAUCCCUUUCUCCUCCGCAGUUCCCUUUCGGGAGCGCCCGUCCCGCUCGGAUUCACCUUCUCUCACUCUCCUCUUUUCUCCCGUUCUGCCCAGUAAUGUCACGAACUUCUUGCCGUUAUUGGAGUUUAGGUUUCUCUGCCAGCGAUUGGUUGCUGUUCUGUGCGAGUCAUUUAUUCUGUAGAUGUGCUUUUUUUGUUGUGUUUGUG
This 2709-nucleotide long non-coding RNA is filed under the name Sus scrofa (pig). RNAcentral describes it as "lncRNA (ENSSSCG00025066871.1)". The record is from RNAcentral. Lineage: Eukaryota; Metazoa; Chordata; Mammalia; Artiodactyla; Suidae.